UACGUAGGUGGCAAGCGUUGUCCGGAAUUACUGGGCGUAAAGCGCACGCAGGUGGCUGAGAAAGUCGAUUGUGAAAGCCCUGGGCUUAACCUGGGAAUUGCAGUCGAAACUACUCGGCUAGAGUAUGGGAGAGGGUAGUGGAAUUCCCGGUGUAGCGGUGAAAUGCGUAGAUAUCGGGAGGAACAUCAGUGGCGAAGGCGGCUACCUGGCCCAAUACUGACACUCAGGUGCGACAGCGUGGGGAGCAAACAGG
This 253-nucleotide ribosomal RNA is filed under the name uncultured bacterium. RNAcentral describes it as "partial 16S ribosomal RNA". It matches the Rfam family "Bacterial small subunit ribosomal RNA", at positions 524 to 776 of the family's 1533-position model. The record is from RNAcentral.